ACUAAUUUUUGUAUUUUUAGUAGAGACAGUGUUUCACCACAUUGGCCAGGCUGGUCUUGAACUCCUGAUCUCAGGUGAUCUGCCCGCCUUGACCUCCCAAAGUGCUGGGACUUCAGGUGUGAGCCACCACGCCCAGCCAAGAAAUUGAUUUUUUUAGUUAAUAAUGUUUACCAAGUAUUGUAGUUGAGUGAAGUCUUCAAGCUUAAAAGUAAACCUUCAGCAUGUUAUUACCUAAGGAAUUUGUGUCAAGGCUAAUUGAACCUGAAUCUCUUAAAUGUUUUGUUUUUGUAGAGAGGAAAAUAUGACGUUCCCAAGUGGCUUUCUCCUAGUAGCAUUCUGCUUCUUCAACAAAUGCUGCAGGUGGACCCAAAGAAACGGAUUUCUAUGAAAAAUCUAUUGAACCAUCCCUGGAUCAUGCAAGAUUACAACUAUCCUGUUGAGUGGCAAAGCAAGAAUCCU
This 459-nucleotide small RNA is filed under the name Pongo abelii (Sumatran orangutan). RNAcentral describes it as "retained intron". The record is from RNAcentral. Lineage: Eukaryota; Metazoa; Chordata; Mammalia; Primates; Hominidae.